Molecule: ribosomal RNA, 300 nt
Filed under: uncultured Desulfotomaculum sp.
Lineage: Bacteria; Bacillati; Bacillota; Clostridia; Eubacteriales; Desulfotomaculaceae
Description: bacterial SSU rRNA
Rfam family: Bacterial small subunit ribosomal RNA
Source: RNAcentral
GCUAACUACGUGCCAGCAGCCGCGGUAACACGUAGGGGGCAAGCGUUGUCCGGAAUUACUGGGCGUAAAGGGCGCGUAGGCGGCCUUUUAAGUUAGAGGUGAAAGGCCAGGGCUCAACCCUGGAGUUGCCUCUAAAACUGGGAGGCUUGAGUGCAGGAGAGGGAAGUGGAAUUCCUAGUGUAGCGGUGAAAUGCGUAGAUAUUAGGAGGAACACUAGUGGCGAAGGCGGCUUCCUGGCCUGUAACUGACGCUGAGGCGCGAAAGCGUGGGUAGCAAACAGGAUUAGAUACCCCUGUAGUC